UACGUAGGGUGCGAGCGUUGUCCGGAAUUAUUGGGCGUAAAGGGCUCGUAGGCGGUUUGUCGCGUCGGGAGUGAAAACCUUGGGCUUAACUCAGGGCUUGCUUUCGAUACGGGCAGACUAGAGGUAUGCAGGGGAGAACGGAAUUCCUGGUGUAGCGGUGAAAUGCGCAGAUAUCAGGAGGAACACCGGUGGCGAAGGCGGGUCUCUGGACAGUAACUGACGCUGAGGAGCGAAAGCGUGGGGAGCGAACAGG
This 253-nucleotide ribosomal RNA is filed under the name uncultured bacterium. RNAcentral describes it as "partial 16S ribosomal RNA". It matches the Rfam family "Bacterial small subunit ribosomal RNA", at positions 524 to 776 of the family's 1533-position model. The record is from RNAcentral.